RNAcentral lists this long non-coding RNA (322 nucleotides) under Hordeum vulgare. Its description in RNAcentral is "long non-coding RNA (HVUL_LNC020803)". Lineage: Eukaryota; Viridiplantae; Streptophyta; Magnoliopsida; Poales; Poaceae. The record is from RNAcentral.
AAAUUUAGCAAUUGUGAGAUUUCGGAGGAGACCAAAUGCAGACCAAUGCUGCAGUUUGCUUUUAUCCAAUAGCUGCUGGAAUACAAACAAGUUUAAUUUCAAGUCUUUUAUAGACUUGAACACAUGUACCUAGCUUACCGGUCUAGAUCGAGCCCGGUGCUGAGAGGGUGAAUGCUCAGAAGUUUCCGAAGGGAUGGUACAACUCAGUCCACUGAGGUUGAUCAACAUCACGCCCCUGCAAUGAGGACGGUGAUCAUUCAGGGUGGGCGGGACGAACGGGCUAUUCGACCCACUCGUGGCCUGUUGGGUCUUUGCUCGCUCG